This 292-nucleotide ribosomal RNA is filed under the name uncultured eukaryote. RNAcentral describes it as "partial 18S ribosomal RNA". It matches the Rfam family "Eukaryotic small subunit ribosomal RNA", at positions 6 to 359 of the family's 1831-position model. The record is from RNAcentral.
GGUUGAUCCUGCCAGCAGUCAUAUGCUUGUCUUAAAAAUUAAGCCAUGCAAGUCUAAGUAUAAACGAAUUUAUUCAGUGAGACUGCAGAAGGCUCAUUAUAUCAGUUAUUGUCUAUGCGAUGGGCAAUUACUACAUGGAUAACUGUAGUAAUUCUAGAGCUAAUACAUGCCAUAAAGCAUCUCUCUGAGGUGUGGCCUUAUUAGAACUAAAGCCAGCCCGAUUAUUCGGAGUAGAAUUUCUGCCCUAUCAGCUUUGGAUGGUAGUGUAGUGGACUACCAUGGCUUUUACGGG